UUUAAUGAGAGUUUGAUCCUGGCUCAGGACGAACGCUGGCGGCGUGCCUAAUACAUGCAAGUAGAACGCUGAAGGAGGAGCUUGCUUCUCUGGAUGAGUUGCGAACGGGUGAGUAACGCGUAGGUAACCUGCCUGGUAGCGGGGGAUAACUAUUGGAAACGAUAGCUAAUACCGCAUAACAGUAGAUGUUGCAUGACAUUUGCUUAAAAGGUGCAAUUGCAUCACUACCAGAUGGACCUGCGUUGUAUUAGCUAGUUGGUGGGGUAACGGCUCACCAAGGCGACGAUACAUAGCCGACCUGAGAGGGUGAUCGGCCACACUGGGACUGAGACACGGCCCAGACUCCUACGGGAGGCAGCAGUAGGGAAUCUUCGGCAAUGGACGGAAGUCUGACCGAGCAACGCCGCGUGAGUGAAGAAGGUUUUCGGAUCGUAAAGCUCUGUUGUAAGAGAAGAA
Molecule: ribosomal RNA, 456 nt
Filed under: Streptococcus humanilactis
Lineage: Bacteria; Bacillati; Bacillota; Bacilli; Lactobacillales; Streptococcaceae
Description: bacterial SSU rRNA
Rfam family: Bacterial small subunit ribosomal RNA
Source: RNAcentral